Musa acuminata AAA Group (dessert banana) is the source of this 1531-nucleotide long non-coding RNA. RefSeq lists it as uncharacterized. The record is from RefSeq and is a predicted model, not a curated record. NCBI's taxonomy places the organism in Eukaryota, Viridiplantae, Streptophyta, Magnoliopsida, Zingiberales, Musaceae. The transcript is spliced from 2 exons.
UGAUCUGUACGUGUUGGUCGACAUUAAAAUCAUCUUUGAAUACUUUUCUAAUCUCGUCUCUGGUUGAAAUAAACAUAUAUUUAAAAUACAGUAUCCGUCUGUAAUAUUCAUUAUUUUUAUAAAAAAAAAAUUAUUUGUAAAGUCAAAUUUUAAUGACUAAACGGUUAGGUUGCAAAAAAAAAACAAAAAAAUAAAAAAACGAAAAAACAAAACAAAACAAAAUGAAAGGGCGAAAGGGUGGCGGUUUUAUCGCACCGGCUCCCACGCUCGCUGUUUUCCCACGCCCACAGAGAGAGAAGCUGUGGGGCGUUGGGGAGAAGAAGAGAAGAUGAAGAAGAGGAAGAAGAAAAAAAGAGGAAGAGUGGCAGCGGCAAAGGCUGCAGCGAGGAGGUGUGGGGCGUCGAGAAGGAGAAGGGAAGAAGAAGAGAAGAAGCGGAAGAAGAGAAGAAAAGAAGAAGAAGGAGAAGAGAGGGAAGAUGUAGAGGAGAAAGAGGUGGCAGCAGCUAGGGCUGCAACACCUCUGUUUCCCGCAGGAGGAAACAGAGGAGAGGAUGUGUGUGGCGUUGGGGAGGAGAAGGGAAGAAGAGGAGAAGAAGAGAAGAAGAGGGAAGAGGUGGCUGCGGCACCUCUGUUUCCCGCAGGAGGAAACAGAGGAGAGGAGGCGCUGUGCGUCGGGGAGGAAAGGGGAAGAAGAGGAGAAGAAGAGAAGGAAAAAAAGAAGAGGCUGGGGCUGCGGCGGUGGCAGCUGCAGCUGGAAGAGAAGUAGGAGAGGAAGAAAAGAAGGUGAGGUAGAAGAGAGGAAGGAGAGCUGCGGCUGCGGCUGUGGCAGGGAAAGAGGAAGAGGAAGGAAGAAGGGAAGGAGAGGAAGAAGAGAAGGGGAAGAAGGGGUUGUGGCUGCGGCGAUGGCAGCUGCAGCUGGAAGAGAAGAAGGAGAGGAAGAAAAGCAAGGGAGGAAGAAAGGGGCUGCGGCAGCUGUGUUUCGGGAAAGAAAAAGAAGGAACGAGAGAAGGGUUGAAGGAAGUAGUACAUGAAAGGGGAUGCGGCGGUGGCUGCGGCUGCGAUCAUGGCUGCGGUUGCAGCUGCAACUGUGGUAGUGGCAGCAGUGGCCGGAAAAAAAAGAAGGCAGAUGUAGAAAAUGAAAUAGGGAGAGGAUACAAAGGAAAAAUAGAAGAAGGAUUUGGGCGUACACCUUCUUCGGAUCUUUGGAUCAAAACCUUCAAAAGGUCAACUUGUCACACUCUGAGAUAUUUGUAUUGUGCUGAGGCAGUGGAGAGCUAUUCAGAAUUGUGGGCAAAUCUUGUUGGUUGAUAUGUUAUUAUUGUAUAAGUGCAUUUUAUAUGAAAUGAAAUGAAAUGUUGUCAAUGAAUCUGAAUUGAUACAUUGUGUAAAAGUGUUAAAAAAAUCUCUCUUAUUUAGACUUUCGGAAUGUUAAGUUUAGUUUACAAUGAUGUGAAUUGGUGGUAAAUGGUUAGAGUCUUGAUUGUAUAAAUUAUUUAGCUUGUGGAUUUGUAAGUGUUGUUAAUGUUUUGUU